Molecule: ribosomal RNA, 405 nt
Filed under: uncultured bacterium
Lineage: Bacteria
Description: bacterial SSU rRNA
Rfam family: Bacterial small subunit ribosomal RNA
Source: RNAcentral
GGGGAAUAUUGCACAAUGGGCGAAAGCCUGAUGCAGCGACGCCGCGUGAGGGAUGACGGCCUUCGGGUUGUAAACCUCUUUCAGCAGGGAAGAAGCGAAAGUGACGGUACCUGCAGAAGAAGCACCGGCUAACUACGUGCCAGCAGCCGCGGUAAUACGUAGGGUGCGAGCGUUGUCCGGAGUUAUUGGGCGUAAAGAGCUUGUAGGCGGUUUGUCGCGUCUGCAGUGAAAAUCCGAGGCUCAACCUCGGACUUGCUGUGGGUACGGGCAGACUAGAGUAUGGUAGGGGAGACCGGAAUUCCUGGUGUAGCGGUGGAAUGCGCAGAUAUCAGGAGGAACACCGAUGGCGAAGGCAGGUCUCUGGGCCAUAACUGACGCUGAGAAGCGAAAGCAUGGGGAGCGAAC